CCUACGGGCGGAAGCAGUGAGGAAUAUUGGUCAAUGGGCGCGAGCCUGAACCAGCCAAGUAGCGUGAAGGAUGACUGCCCUACGGGUUUUAAACUUCUUUUAUAAAGGAAUAAAGUGAGGCACGUGUGCCUUUUUGUAUGUACUUUAUGAAUAAGGAUCGGCUAACGCCGUGCCAGCAGCCGCGGUAAUACGGAGGAUCCGAGCGUUAUCCGGAUUUAUUGGGUUUAAAGGGAGCGUAGAUGGGUUGUUAAGUCAGUUGUGAAAUUUUACGGCUCAACCGUAAAAUUGCGAUUGAUACUGGCAGUCUUGAGUGCUGUUGAGGCAGGCGGAAUUCGUGGUGUAGCGGUGAAAUGCUUAGAUAUCACGAGGAACUCCGAUUGCGAAGGCAGCCUGCUAAACUGCCACUGACAUUGAUGCUCGAAAGUGUGGGUAUCAAACAGGAUUAGAUACCCUGGUAGUC
This 460-nucleotide ribosomal RNA is filed under the name uncultured bacterium. RNAcentral describes it as "partial 16S ribosomal RNA". It matches the Rfam family "Bacterial small subunit ribosomal RNA", at positions 338 to 795 of the family's 1533-position model. The record is from RNAcentral.